UACAGAGACUGCGAGCGUUAUUCGGAUUCACUGGGCGUAAAGGGUGCGCAGGCGGCCAAGUGUGUUAGGCGUGAAAGCCCGAGGCUUAACCUCGGAAUUGCACCUAAAACUACUUGGCUAGAGUACUGGAGAGGGAAACGGAAUUCACGGUGUAGCAGUGAAAUGCGUAGAUAUCGUGAGGAACACCAGAGGCGAAGGCGGUUUCCUGGACAGUUACUGACGCUCAGGCACGAAAGCGUGGGGAGCAAACGGG
Molecule: ribosomal RNA, 253 nt
Filed under: uncultured bacterium
Lineage: Bacteria
Description: partial 16S ribosomal RNA
Rfam family: Bacterial small subunit ribosomal RNA
Source: RNAcentral